This 640-nucleotide ribosomal RNA is filed under the name Malassezia sp. Its description in RNAcentral is "eukaryotic LSU rRNA". It matches the Rfam family "Eukaryotic large subunit ribosomal RNA", at positions 40 to 667 of the family's 3401-position model. The record is from RNAcentral. Lineage: Eukaryota; Fungi; Basidiomycota; Malasseziomycetes; Malasseziales; Malasseziaceae.
AUAUCAAUAAGCGGAGGAAAAGAAACUAACAAGGAUUCCCCUAGUAACGGCGAGCGAAGCGGGAAGAGCUCAAAUUUGAAAGCUGGCGUCUUCGGCGUCCGCGUUGUAAUCUCGAGACGUGUUUUCCGUGCGGCUCUAUGGACAAGUCCCUUGGAACAGGGCAUCGUAGAGGGUGAAAAUCCCGUACUUGCCAUGGAAGUACCGUGCUUUGUGAUACACGCUCCAAGAGUCGAGUAGUUUGGGAUUGCUGCUCAAAGUGGGUGGUAGACUCCAUCUAAAGCUAAAUAUCGGGGAGAGACCGAUAGCGAACAAGUACCGUGAGGGAAAGAUGAAAAGCACUUUGGAAAGAGAGUUAAAAGUACGUGAAAUUGUCGAAAGGGAAGCACUUGAAGUCAGCCAUGCUGCUUGAGACUCAGCCUGGCUUUUGCUUGGUGUAUUUCUCGGUAGCAAGCCAGCAUUGGUUUGUGUCGUCGGAGAAGCGUAUGGGGAAUGUGGCAUCCUCGGAUGUGUUAUAGCCCUGUGCAGGAUACGACGACGUAGACCAAGGAACGCAGUGUGCCCUCUGGGCGGGUCUUCGGACACCUUCACACUUAGGAUGCUGGCGUAAUGGCUUUAAGUGGCCCGUCUUGAAACACGGACC